This is a non-coding RNA of Paramuricea clavata, 859 nucleotides long. Lineage: Eukaryota; Metazoa; Cnidaria; Anthozoa; Malacalcyonacea; Plexauridae. The record is from the annotation of a GenBank genome assembly.
AUAAACAGACCUUUAGAUACUAUCUCACUAUAUUAUACAUAUAAUAUACAGAGCUAUAAUUCUAGCUUAUUAUAAAGUACUAGUACCCAAAAGCGGGGUUUUAACAGUGCUCUGCCUCUGCAGGGGGAAUACAAAUUUAUAACAAAUGUCAUCCUUUUGAUGCCCAUUUGAACACAUGACAUAAAGACCAACACACAUGUAUUUUCAUAGGAUUAAAUUUAACCUAGAAAGCUGAUUAUUUCGACCCAGCCAUCUGGUUAAUUUAACAAUUCAACAAAAUUUUUAGUACGCUGGAAUUUAACAGUUGUAAAUUUUCAAAUUCCCGCAUAUUCCUGAGUUCAAUGUUUUGAUUGACUAGUGCUUUACUUGGGGUUAAAGAAAACUGUAUGCUUUUGGAAUACAGACAAUAUACUUUUGGGUUUUCUCACUAAUUUACCCUUAGGUAAACGGACUUGACCCAAGUCUAAGAAUAACCUAACUAUUUAGUUUGUCAUUAUGUGCUUAUAAUUCCCUGUUUCUUUAAUGCCUUUUACUGUAGCCCGAAUCUCUGCAUAAUGUUCUACUGUUCAGUGGACUAGUCCAAGAGUUGUAUCAUGAAUCGGUGGACAGGAAAUUGUCCCUGGUCAGCUUUUAUUUGAAAAGGUAUAUGUUAGCCUGUUUAAUGAAUGUUAAAGCUGGUUACAGAAGAGCAAGUUUUCUAUGACAAGUUAAUUUUUAUGUGACAAGCUUUUUUUGCUGCUCUGUACGUGCAACUUUGGCAAUUUUUUUCUAUGACAAGUGCACUUGUUCAAAAGCUAGCAUGCUAGCUUUUGAACAAGUGCACUUGUCAUAGAAAAAAUUGUCAAAGCGCAAAUUUUGU